This 30-nucleotide non-coding RNA is filed under the name Homo sapiens (human). The record is from RNAcentral. Lineage: Eukaryota; Metazoa; Chordata; Mammalia; Primates; Hominidae.
UGAAGAGACAGCAGGCAUGUCUUACAUGGU